GAGCGCUCGGGACGGCCGCGGCCCCAGGCGACCUCCGCGUGCAGAAGGCCCGGGGCGCACGCGCAACCCGUGUGCGGACGCCCAGAGAAAAGAGAAAACACGUUGGCUUCCGCCUCCUAGGGACCCCGCACGCCCACUUUUGUAGGAGAAUGUCACUUUUUGUGGAGGGACAGGUGGUGGGUGGGUGUUGAGGCUCCAUAAGACAUUGCUGUGCCCAGACAGUCGAUGGUGGACUCCGUGUAAAGGAUUCGGGAGACGUGGCUGCGCGGGGAGCACUGGGGAGCACUGGGGAGCGACCGUAGCCUCCGCAGCCAGGAUCCGCAGGCGGCUGGCUUUCUCCGGGAGCCUGAGGCCGGCUUCACGUCGUAGGCAGCAUCGUGCUGCUCCGUGAGUACGGGGAGCCAGCGGGCCUGGCGCCAACUGUGAAGUGCAGUCUCAUUCCUCCUGCAGGCGUGCAAGUACCUAGGUAUGUGGGUUAGCGGCCACCUCAGGACCUCACGUGCAAGUACCCAGUACCUUGAGAAAUAUGUUGAAUUGUUGAAGACAAGACUUGGAUAUUUUUUAAUUAUCUGGCAAAACAUCACCAUAAAAUAUUAUUACAGUGAACUUUGCCAUACUUCCUUAAUAUUUACAGGUGAAAGAGUAAGUUCCAGAAUGGCUGAUACAGACAUUAAAAGGAACAGCAAAUGAGCAAGGUGCAUUGAUGAAGACUACAUGGACCUCACUCUGUGAUUAGGGACACCUGGGUGGCUCAGUGGUUGAGCAUCUCCCUUCAGCUCAGGGCACGAUCCC
Molecule: long non-coding RNA, 792 nt
Organism: Canis lupus familiaris (dog)
Lineage: Eukaryota; Metazoa; Chordata; Mammalia; Carnivora; Canidae
Exons: 5
Source: RefSeq, a predicted model, not a curated record